Long non-coding RNA from Phalaenopsis equestris, 778 nucleotides. RefSeq lists it as uncharacterized. The record is from RefSeq and is a predicted model, not a curated record. The transcript has 3 exons. NCBI's taxonomy places the organism in Eukaryota, Viridiplantae, Streptophyta, Magnoliopsida, Asparagales, Orchidaceae.
AAAUUCCUCUCCUCAUUUGGCUUCUCAUUCAACGAGGGUUUCUACAGAAGAAUUUUCCCGAGGAGUCGCUAACAGAAGGCUCUUCAAGAAAGCUUCUGAAGAUUUUUUUUGUAGCACCACACCAGAUGGGAGAUGCAAGCUUCAGAAACUUGAAAACAUCCAGAACUGGAAGAUGGACACUUCCUAGGUUGUAAGGUUGAAUACGAACAAUUUAAAGCGAGAAAAUCAAGCGAAAAGUUCCCUGUGCGGUGUGACCAUUCCAUGUAUCGAAGGGUUGCGGCGUGACAAGGCCGCACUCCGAUGUGACAACGCCACCCUAGCCAAACUAUCAGCUUGACCACGCCGCUCUCGCAAUUCUAUGGCGUGACCACGCCAAUUAUGGAUGUCACCAUGCCGACGAGCGAGAAAGCAUUUUAGAAAGUAAAUUUGAUGGCCCAAGAAGUGAUUUUUGUUAUAAAAUAAACUCCUAUGACUUCUUAGAGGGAGCUCUGCACCAGAGAAGGCUUGAAAGCUGCUAGAGACGAAUUUAUGGAGGGAAUUUGAGUUCUCUCUUGAAGUUGAUCUUCUCUAAAAGAGGGAUUUUUGUCUUUGUUUUGUGAGUUGUGAAAGUUUUGUACGAGAGGAAGAGUUGUUGUCACAAGGAGAGAGCAAGUUCUUACAAGUUUUUAAUAUAUUUGUUGCUUGCAAUGUAUUCCUUCAUAAAUUUUCUCACUAUGAUGUUAUCUACGAUGUGUGACUAAAUUCUUUUUCGUGUCUCUGCGAUGUAGGGGGCACUAGA